AGAGUUUGAUCAUGGCUCAGGACGAACGCUGGCGGCGUGCUUAACACAUGCAAGUCGAGCGGAAAGGCCCUUCGGGGUACUCGAGCGGCGAACGGGUGAGUAACACGUGAGUAAUCUGCCCCUAGCUCUGGGAUAGCUCCGGGAAACCGGGAUUAAUACCGGAUAUGACUCCUUCAGACAUCUUGAGGAGUGGAAAGAUUUAUCGGCUAGGGAUGAGCUCGCGGCCUAUCAGCUUGUUGGUGAGGUAACGGCUCACCAAGGCGACGACGGGUAGCCGGCCUGAGAGGGCGACCGGCCACACUGGGACUGAGACACGGCCCAGACUCCUACGGGAGGCAGCAGUGGGGAAUAUUGCGCAAUGGGCGAAAGCCUGACGCAGCGACGCCGCGUGGGGGAUGAAGGCCUUCGGGUUGUAAACCCCUUUCAGCAGGGACGAAGCGAAAGUGACGGUACCUGCAGAAGAAGCGCCGGCUAACUACGUGCCAGCAGCCGCGGUAAUACGUAGGGUGCAAGCGUUGUCCGGAAUUAUUGGGCGUAAAGAGCGUGUAGGCGGCCCGAUUAGUCCGCUGUGAAAGUCCAGGGCUCAACCCCGAGCCUGCAGUGGAUACGGGCAGACUAGAGGUAGGUAGGGGAGAAUGGAAUUCCCCGGUGUAGCGGUGAAAUGCGCAGAUAUCGGGAGGAACACCGGUGGCGAAGGCGGUUCUCUGGGCCUUACCUGACGCUGAGGAGCGAAAGCGUGGGGAGCGAACAGGAUUAGAUACCCUGGUAGUCCACGCCGUAAACGUUGGGCGCUAGGUGUGGGAUCCUUCCACGGAUUCCGUGC
This 823-nucleotide ribosomal RNA is filed under the name uncultured bacterium. RNAcentral describes it as "bacterial SSU rRNA". It matches the Rfam family "Bacterial small subunit ribosomal RNA", at positions 8 to 846 of the family's 1533-position model. The record is from RNAcentral.